Molecule: ribosomal RNA, 845 nt
Filed under: uncultured Bacillota bacterium
Lineage: Bacteria; Bacillati; Bacillota
Description: bacterial SSU rRNA
Rfam family: Bacterial small subunit ribosomal RNA
Source: RNAcentral
CAAGUCGAACGAUUAAAGCUCUCUUCGGAGAGUGCAUAAAGUUGGCGCACGGGUGAGUAACACGUAAGUAAUCUACCUCUGAGUGGGGAAUAACGUCCGGAAACGGACGCUAAUACCGCAUAAUGCAGCGGCACCGCAAGGUGACAGUUGUUAAAGAUUUAUCGCUUGGAGAGGAGCUUGCGGCAGAUUAGCUAGUUGGUAAGGUAAUGGCUUACCAAGGCUACGAUCUGUAGCCGGUCUAAGAGGACGGUCGGUCACACUGACACUGAAUAACGGGUCAGACUCCUACGGGAGGCAGCAGUCGGGAAUUUUGGGCAAUGGGCGAAAGCCUGACCCAGCAACGCCGCGUGAAGGAUGAAGUAUUUCGGUAUGUAAACUUCGAAAGAAUAGGAAGAAUUAAUGACGGUACUAUUUAUAAGGUCCGGCUAACUACGUGCCAGCAGCCGCGGUAAUACGUAGGGACCAAGCGUUGUUCGGAUUUACUGGGCGUAAAGGGCGCGUAGGCGGCAUGACAAGUCACUUGUGAAAUCUUCGGGCUUAACCCGGAACGGCCAAGUGAUACUGUCGCGCUAGAGUGCGGAAGGGGCAAUCGGAAUUCUCGGUGUAGCGGUGAAAUGCGUAGAUAUCGAGAGGAACACCUGAGGCGAAGACGGGUUGCUGGGCCGACACUGACGCUGAGUGCGCGAAAGCCAGGGGAGCAAACGGGAUUAGAUACCCCGGUAGUCCUGGCCCUAAACGAUGAAUACUUGGUGUCUGGAGUUCAUAGUGCUCCGGGUGCCGUCGCUAACGUUUUUAGUAUUCCGCCUGGGGAGUACGCUCGCAGAGUGAAACUCAAAGGAAUUGAC